This 368-nucleotide ribosomal RNA is filed under the name Staphylococcus sp. NIOT-PK7. RNAcentral describes it as "bacterial SSU rRNA". It matches the Rfam family "Bacterial small subunit ribosomal RNA", at positions 68 to 426 of the family's 1533-position model. Lineage: Bacteria; Bacillati; Bacillota; Bacilli; Caryophanales; Staphylococcaceae. The record is from RNAcentral.
GACAGACGAGGAGCUUGCUCCUCUGACGUUAGCGGCGGACGGGUGAGUAACACGUGGAUAACCUACCUAUAAGACUGGGAUAACUUCGGGAAACCGGAGCUAAUACCGGAUAAUAUAUUGAACCGCAUGGUUCAAUAGUGAAAGACGGUUUUGCUGUCACUUAUAGAUGGAUCCGCGCCGCAUUAGCUAGUUGGUAAGGUAACGGCUUACCAAGGCAACGAUGCGUAGCCGACCUGAGAGGGUGAUCGGCCACACUGGAACUGAGACACGGUCCAGACUCCUACGGGAGGCAGCAGUAGGGAAUCUUCCGCAAUGGGCGAAAGCCUGACGGAGCAACGCCGCGUGAGUGAUGAAGGUCUUCGGAUCGU